This 189-nucleotide ribosomal RNA is filed under the name uncultured bacterium. RNAcentral describes it as "partial 16S ribosomal RNA". It matches the Rfam family "Bacterial small subunit ribosomal RNA", at positions 338 to 524 of the family's 1533-position model. The record is from RNAcentral.
CCUACGGGAGGCAGCAGUGAGGAAUAUUGGUCAAUGGGUGAGAGCCUGAUCCAGCCAUCCCGCGUGCAGGAAGACGGCCCUAUGGGUUGUAAACUGCUUUUAUAUGGGAGCAAUAAGGUCUACGCGUAGACCGAUGAGAGUACCAUAUGAAUAAGCAUCGGCUAACUCCGUGCCAGCAGCCGCGGUAAU